UGGGGAAUAUUGGACAAUGCACGAAAGUGUGAUCCAGCAAUGCCGCGUGAGUGAAGAAGGCCUUAGGGUUGUAAAGCUCUUUUACCAGGGAUGAUAAUGACAGUACCUGGAGAAUAAGCCCCGGCUAACUCCGUGCCAGCAGCCGCGGUAAUACGGAGGGGGCUAGCGUUGUUCGGAAUUACUGGGCGUAAAGCGCGCGUAGGCGGCUUUUCAAGUCAGAGGUGAAAUCCCGGGGCUUAACCCCGGAACUGCCUUUGAAACUGAAUGGCUAGAAUCUUGGAGAGGUGAGUGGAAUUCCGAGUGUAGAGGUGAAAUUCGUAGAUAUUCGGAAGAACACCAGUGGCGAAGGCGACUCACUGGACAAGUAUUGACGCUGAGGUGCGAAAGCGUGGGGAGCAAACAGGAUUAGAUACCCCCGUAGUCC
This 424-nucleotide ribosomal RNA is filed under the name uncultured prokaryote. RNAcentral's name for it is "bacterial SSU rRNA". It matches the Rfam family "Bacterial small subunit ribosomal RNA", at positions 355 to 796 of the family's 1533-position model. The record is from RNAcentral.